UGGCUUAGUCGGUAAAGCAUCUGCCUGCAAUGCGGGAGGCCUGGGUUCAAUUCCUGG
This 57-nucleotide transfer RNA is filed under the name Bos taurus (domestic cattle). It matches the Rfam family "tRNA", at positions 8 to 63 of the family's 71-position model. From Rfam's summary of the family: Transfer RNA (tRNA) molecules are approximately 80 nucleotides in length. RNAcentral also lists the same sequence under 4 other names. The record is from Rfam by way of RNAcentral. Lineage: Eukaryota; Metazoa; Chordata; Mammalia; Artiodactyla; Bovidae.